AUUCUAGAGGGGACGGCAUAAAGCCUUUCUGGAAAAGGCUUAAGAUCACCAGAAACUCUAGGAGUUGGAGUAAUGCAGACCUCCAUUUUCUUAUACCUGUAGCCACAAAACAAAGUCAUUCCAGGUAAGUACACCUCUUACUUCUGAGCAUAAGUGUUGAUCAAACUUUUAGGAUAUCUAAAACUCAUAGAUACCCUUGUGAGAACUUAAAAAAAGGAUUUCUUGUGUUAAUAUUACAUGAUUUCAUGAUAUAUAAAAUAAUCACAAAUUGGGAUCACGAAGCUUUUAUCAUAACUACAUGCGCAAACAUCAAAGACAUAGAAACAGUAAUUACAUAUUUUGUUUCCAUUGGCUCCUGCAUAACCGUAUGGGACAUGGUACUUGAUUACUGAUUUUCUUAUAAUACAUCAAUUUUUUAAGACAGUUUUGUUUUCCUUUUUUUCCACAACUUUUCUCCCACCUUUUACGUUCAUGUAUGCUUGUGCUUACGGUUAGUAGAAAGAAAUAUAAGGAAUCCUAAUAAAAGAAUGUCAAAAUAUUCAAAUUGUUCAAUACUAAUUAAGGGUCAUACCAGACAUCAUUAGCAUCUGCCGACUCACAGAAUUUUACUCCGGAAUCUUCUUGUCUGCUGCGACAUGAUUCGGAGUCAACAGUUUUUUGCCAAAUAGCAAUUUCAGAUUGUUCAGACUUUUUCUCCCA
Molecule: long non-coding RNA, 699 nt
Filed under: Vigna radiata
Lineage: Eukaryota; Viridiplantae; Streptophyta; Magnoliopsida; Fabales; Fabaceae
Description: long non-coding RNA (VRAD_LNC011143)
Source: RNAcentral